CCUGCUGUCCCAUCAGCAGUACCCUACGAGGUAGUGCAGCUAGGUAACGAACUGUGCGAAGCCCUCGGACAAUGUACCCGCAGUCGCAAGACUGGCACCGGCGCCGUGAGGCAAUAGUGCGUCUGUCAGCGCCACGACGGACAGGGCC
Non-coding RNA from Kouleothrix aurantiaca, 148 nucleotides. NCBI's taxonomy places the organism in Bacteria, Bacillati, Chloroflexota, Chloroflexia, Chloroflexales, Roseiflexaceae. The record is from Rfam.